Phodopus roborovskii (desert hamster) is the source of this 87-nucleotide small nucleolar RNA. RefSeq annotates it as small nucleolar RNA SNORD86. The record is from RefSeq and is a predicted model, not a curated record. The transcript has a single exon. NCBI's taxonomy places the organism in Eukaryota, Metazoa, Chordata, Mammalia, Rodentia, Cricetidae.
AGUAUAUGCCAUGUAUGUGCCAAACUUCCUAACCUAUACAGGCUUCUGUUAUUGGAGGUGGUGGCCAGUCCUGGUGUCUGAGUGAUU